This 537-nucleotide small RNA is filed under the name Pongo abelii (Sumatran orangutan). RNAcentral describes it as "processed transcript". The record is from RNAcentral. Lineage: Eukaryota; Metazoa; Chordata; Mammalia; Primates; Hominidae.
AGAUGCUUCUGGGUCGCGGUGUGCUGAGCUAGGAGUCCGAGUGUGUGAGCUUGAGAGCCGCGCGCUAGGGCGACCCGGCGAGGGAUGGCGGCCACCGGGACCGCGGCUGCCGCAGCCACGGGCUCUUGCAGCCAAUGCCGGAACAGGAUUUGCUGUUGCUGAGCCUCAAAUCGCAAUGUUUUGUGGGAAGUUAAAUAUGCAUGUGAACAUUCAGACCGGGAAAUGGGAACCUGAUCCAACAGGCACCAAGAGCUGCUUUGAAACAAAAGAAGAAGUUCUUCAGUACUGUCAGGAGAUGUAUCCAGAGCUACAGAUCACAAAUGUGAUGGAGGCAAACCAGCGGGUCAGUAUUGACAAUUGGUGCCGGAGGGACAAAAAGCAAUGCAAGAGUCGCUUUGUUACACCUUUCAAGUGUCUUGUGGGUGAAUUUGUAAGUGAUGUUCUGCUAGUUCCAGAAAAGUGCCAGUUUUUCCACAAAGAGCGGAUGGAGGUGUGCGAGAAUCACCAGCACUGGCACACGGUAGUCAAAGAGGUAAG